GAUGAACGCUGGCGGUAUGCUUAACACAUGCAAGUCGAACGGACUCUUCGGAGUUAGUGGCGGACGGGUGAGUAACGCGUGAGAAUCUGGCUUUGGGUUCGGGACAACCACUGGAAACGGUGGCUAAUACCGGAUGUGCCGAGAGGUAAAAGAGAAAUUGCCUGAAGAUGAGCUCGCGUCUGAUUAGCUAGUUGGUGAGGUAAAGGCUCACCAAGGCAGCGAUCAGUAGCUGGUCUGAGAGGAUGACCAGCCACACUGGGACUGAGACACGGCCCAGACUACUACUGGAGGAAGCAGUGGGGAAUGAUCCGCAAAGGGCGAAAGCCUGAAGGAGCAAUACCGCGUGAGGGAAGAAGGCUCUUGGGUUGUAAACCUCUUUUCUUAGGGAAGAACAAAAUGACGUUACCUAAAGAAUCAGCAUCGGCUAACUCCGUG
RNAcentral lists this ribosomal RNA (435 nucleotides) under uncultured bacterium. RNAcentral describes it as "partial 16S ribosomal RNA". It matches the Rfam family "Bacterial small subunit ribosomal RNA", at positions 28 to 507 of the family's 1533-position model. The record is from RNAcentral.